AGUGAACGCUGGCGGCGUGCCUAAUACAUGCAAGUCGAACGGAGAUUAAAUAGCUUGCUAUUUAAUCUUAGUGGCGCACGGGUGAGUAAUAUAUAGUUAAUCUGCCCCAUAGUGGAGGACAACAGUUAGAAAUGACUGCUAAUACUCCAUACUCCUUCUUAUCAUAAGUUAAGUCGGGAAAGUUUUUCGCUAUGGGAUGAGACUAUAUCGUAUCAGCUAGUUGGUGAGGUAAUGGCUCACCAAGGCUAUGACGCGUAACUGGUCUGAGAGGAUGAUCAGUCACAUUGGAACUGAGACACGGUCCAAACUCCUACGGGAGGCAGCAGUAGGGAAUAUUGCGCAAUGGGGGAAACCCUGACGCAGCAACGCCGCGUGGAGGAUGACACUUUUCGGAGCGUAAACUCCUUUUGUUAAGGAAGAAUAAUGACGGUACCUAACGAAUAAGCACCGGCUAACUCCGUGCCAGCAGCCGCGGUAAUACGGAGGGUGCAAGCGUUACUCGGAAUCACUGGGCGUAAAGGACGCGUAGGCGGAUUAUCAAGUCUCUUGUGAAAUCUAGUGGCUUAACCACUAAACUGCUUGGGAAACUGAUAAUCUAGAGUAAGGGAGAGGCAGAUGGAAUUCUUGGUGUAGGGGUAAAAUCCGUAGAGAUCAAGAAGAAUACUUAUUGCGAAGGCGAUCUGCUAGAACUUAACUGACGCUAAUGCGUGAAAGCGUGGGGAGCAAACAGG
RNAcentral lists this ribosomal RNA (731 nucleotides) under uncultured Campylobacter sp. RNAcentral describes it as "bacterial SSU rRNA". It matches the Rfam family "Bacterial small subunit ribosomal RNA", at positions 28 to 776 of the family's 1533-position model. Lineage: Bacteria; Pseudomonadati; Campylobacterota; Epsilonproteobacteria; Campylobacterales; Campylobacteraceae. The record is from RNAcentral.